AAAAGGUGAAAAUAUGAAAUGCGUGAUCGAAAUAUCGGAAAAAAAAAAAAAAAAAAAAAGCAAAAAGAAGAAUGUGAGUGAGAAGUUGGCUUUGUUUUAUCAAAUCUUUUCACCUCUUUUUUUCUUUUUUUUGCCCUUUCCUUGUUCACAAGAGCCUCUCCUCUUCUCUUUAUUUUUAAUCUUUCAAAUUUGUUUUGCCUUUUCUUCUUUUUUUUUCUCAUUUCCUUUUUUCCCAUAUUAUCAUUACCCAAA
Molecule: long non-coding RNA, 252 nt
Filed under: Capsella rubella
Lineage: Eukaryota; Viridiplantae; Streptophyta; Magnoliopsida; Brassicales; Brassicaceae
Description: long non-coding RNA (CRUB_LNC004474)
Source: RNAcentral